CCUUAUUCUCCAUAACUUUCACCAGAAGCAAUAAAAUGCUUACCCUCCCCAACACAAUGUGAAUGAUCAGAUGAAUGUACAUAUGAAGACAACUCAUUGAGAAAACAACUAUCGUAUCACAAAAAACAACUAUGUUAUCAGCAACGUUUAUAACCUCUACCUAAUUUGAUUUAAAUUAUCUGUGUUCUAUGCCUCAUCUGUGUAGUUUGCAAACAGGCUAUGUCGUGAGAAACCAGAUUAAUCACUUCUGUUUGCUGCUGCUGCUGAAGAAAAGCCACAAAUAGGUGACUCACAAUGUUCCUGUGUGAGUCAUCUGAAACAUCACAUUCUUUGGUCUCCAGUUCUGCAGAUCCGUGUUAAUAUCCAUCGGGGUUGUCGUGCUAAUUAAAUGAGCUUUUUGUUUUCUUGCCCUCUUUCUAGUCUUUUAAUACUCAUCAGCCUCGCUGAUGGCAAGGUCUGUGUAUCUACCUGCCUGACCUUGUUUAUCUGAAACGUGAUGCUGGUUUCCCCUGAGGUUCACCUGACCCAGUCUCCAAUGGGAAUAUCUGAGUCAGGCAUUCAGGGAUUCCUGAUAUGGCAGCCAGAAGAAACAGGUGCAUUUAAGGUGGCAACAGGGGACACCAGCACAGAAAAACCUUGUGGCAGGUGCCAGGAGGGUGGGGAAGAGAACCUGCAGCUGAGAGAUGCUACAGUGUCCCACAACUGCACUAGGAGUAAGGGUUUGCUGAGGAGAGAGCAGAAAAAUGCAGAAGCCAGGAGUCUUCUGGAGCCAGACAGGUUGUAUCUCCUUUUCUCUUGAGAUGAAAUAACAUUAAGGAAGAAGAGUGAAGUCUGGAAAGGGGAGCUUAAAGCAGCUGUAGUGAAUGACGUCUUUACUACUUUUCUUUAUGACUCUUAAUCUUUCUCUCCUCCCCUUCGAGACAGAGCGGAUGAGUUGCCUUCAAUUUCAAGAUUGUGCACUGGCAAAAAAUAUUAAAAUGUUUUUCAUUAGGAAGAGAGUGUUUAGAAAUGGAC
Molecule: long non-coding RNA, 1014 nt
Filed under: Phasianus colchicus (ring-necked pheasant)
Lineage: Eukaryota; Metazoa; Chordata; Aves; Galliformes; Phasianidae
Description: lncRNA (ENSPCLG00000001395.1)
Source: RNAcentral